UGUUGAACGAACGGAUAAAAGUUACAUUUUUAUUAUUUUCAUUGAAAAUUUUUGGGUUAUAGUUGAAUUUAUUAUUUUGUUUUUUGAUCGAAAGCAGCAAUUUAUGAAAUGGGUUGUGGGAAUCAUGUGGAUAUUUCUACAAUCUGUUGGGAUAAGACAAAUUCAUUUCUUCAAAGAGACUUGGUGUAAUUGAGUUUCUCUCUUUUAUCUAAUGGUGGAAUUGUACUAGUGAUACGUAUACCAAUGUUAAAAUGUCAAAUGCUAUUCCUUCUUCCUUAUUUCACUUGCAGAAACAAUUGAAGCAAUUGAAGCAUUUUUGAUUUAUGAUUUUAGAGAAUUUCUGAUUUAUCGGAUUUCAUAUGCAGAUACAAUUGAAGCACUGGCAUUCAUGGAUUUAAGAUUUGGAGCCAACUCGAAACUUUUUCACUCUGCAGCUAAGCAUUAAGUUGAGAAGUCGGGAAUUUGAGAUGGAAAAAUUAAGAAAAAUCUGUAUGAUUCCUGGAAUAUCAUCUUAAGGCUUGGUCUUUUAAUUAUCUUCUCAAAGAUCAUAAGGUGCUGAAAGCUGAAGCAGUAGAUAUUAGCCUUGGAGUGGAUCAGGAGGCGUUUGUGAAAAGGGUGCUCCAUGUCAAUUGCCGAAAAGGAGACAAUUCCUCUUCUACGUGUUGGCCUGUAACUUUUAUAUGUCUUUGCCCUUGGUCCCAUGUUCCAUUUCCUCUUGCCUUGGAAUUGUGUCCUUUUCACUUAACUCACUCCUUCCUUGAUUGAAAAAAUAUCAUUUCACAACAGAGGCCAAGAAGGGAGCUUUAAAAUGAAGGUCUUCUUUUUUGCCCUUUUGAAGGAAACCCUGGGAAAGAGGUGGGGAGCUGGGAGUUGGGCUCAAGAGUUGUUUGGCUUGAUGUGAUAUUGCAACUCAGAUACAAGUGAAGGAAGAUGAAUCUAAGAGGAGCUUACUUUAUAUAGAGACAGCUGAUAGACCUGGAUUACUGGUAGAAAUCAUCAAUAUUAUUGCUGAUUUCAACAUUGAUGUGGAAUCAGCAGAGAGUGACGCAGAACAGAGACUUGCAUAAAAAAUCAUCAAUUGAUGAAGUGGAUGUGAGAAUCAUUGGGGGAUUUCUACAAUAUUAUGGCAUAUGUCAGCCUCACUUGUACUCAAAACAAUGGAAACUAUACAAAGCACUUUCAUGAUGAGGAAGAUCGGGUUUCUUUCACUUGCUUGAAAGCAUUUUAAUCCCAAAAGGCAGUGAGAAUGCUUGCUUGUCUUCAAGUGAAAUCGGCUGUUGUGCUGACUGGAAUUGAAGAUCAUGUUAGCCAACCACUCUGUUUAUGUGUCUCUUGUUAGUGCAAUGCUCAUAUUGAUCUCAAUUUCAAUAUGAUCAAUAUGAUAUUGUGAAGCAGUAUACUACAUUUUUUUUUUUUUUUUUUUUUUUUUUACUGUGAGUCCAUUUUGUGGUAGGUGACCUGGACAAUAGGCAAGUUUACCCCAUGUGAUCAAUACGAUAUUGGUUCUCUCCUUUGCCUGUUGCCUAGAACUGGCUAAGCUAUUGAUUCUUGUUACUGACUUGUUUAUUGCAUGUACAUUCAUACAUCUCUUACUUACAGGCUUGUUAAACUUCGAUGCUUUUAUAUGCACUUGCAUGGAUAGUUACACUUUUAUUUUUUGUAACAAUGGUACAGAGUUAGGUGUACAUUUUGUGUUCAAUCGAUGUAUGAUUAGUUAGAUAUAGUACUCAAUGCGUGUACA
Corylus avellana is the source of this 1741-nucleotide non-coding RNA. The record is from RefSeq and is a predicted model, not a curated record. NCBI's taxonomy places the organism in Eukaryota, Viridiplantae, Streptophyta, Magnoliopsida, Fagales, Betulaceae.